This 328-nucleotide ribosomal RNA is filed under the name uncultured eukaryote. Its description in RNAcentral is "partial 18S ribosomal RNA". It matches the Rfam family "Eukaryotic small subunit ribosomal RNA", at positions 1470 to 1796 of the family's 1831-position model. The record is from RNAcentral.
CCCUUAGAUGUCCCGGGCCGCACGCGCGCUACACUGAGUGUCUGAGAUACGAGUCUGCCUAGCCGGCGAGGUCUAGGUAAUCGCUGAAAGACACAUCAUCCUUGGGAUAGAUUAUUGCAGAUAUUAAUCUUGAACGAGGAAUUCCUAGUAAGCGCAAGUCAACAGCUUGCGUUGAUUACGUCCCUGCCCUUUGUGCACACCUCCCGUCGCUACUACUGAUUGGAUGUUUAAGCGAGGUUCUCGAACUGCUAGCGACUUAGCUUCGGUGAGGUCGCCGUGUGGGAAGUGAACCUAGCUUUGGUGUCUAGAGGAAGUAAAAGUCGUAUCA